CCGUGCGUGCCACAUCGCGGUAUCCGGUAUGGCCCGCCGACUCUGCCGGCUCCCUCGCCUCUUUCCCCUCGUCUCCCCCGCAUCCGCCGCCGCCGCCGCCCCGAAACUCCACCACCUCCCCCCCUUCGCCGUAAACCCUAGCCCCGCGCCCCUGCCCCCCUCCUCCUCCGCGUCGCCGUCUCCCGCGUUCCCCCCGCUCUCUCGCCUCUUCUCCUCCUCCGCGGGCGGUUCCAGCUCCAGCAUGGUGGUCGUGGGCUCAGCGGACUCCUUCGCCAGCAUCCUCUCCAAGGUUCAAGAUGAGAAGCUGCCGGCUGUGUUCUACUACACGGCAGUGUGGUGCGGACCGUGUAGGGCAAUCGCGCCUUUCAUAUCAAAGCUGAGCGGCCAGUAUCCGAGCAUACCGGUGUAUAAAGUUGACAUUGAUAUGGAAGGACUUGGAAGCAAGCUUGGUGAUCUCAAAGUAUACUCGGUGCCUACGUUCCAUUUCUAUCAUAAAGGGCAAAAGACUAAUGAAAUUGUGGGUGCUGACGCCAAGAAGCUCGAAGUGGCUAUGGAGAGUCUCCACAAGCAACAGUAGCUCCAGAAAAGAGCCUUGCGCCAGGGGACACUGUGUCCUACAUCUACCUAUCAUGAGGAAGCAUUGCUCACUUUUGGCUUCGUAUUUUCUUAUGUUUUAGGGUGUUAAGCUAGCGCUUCAUGCGAAGGCUUGGAUUGAUCUCCGUAUUACUACAACGAUGCAUCAAUCAACGGCCGGUGACUAAUUUCGUGUCUUAUUUUCAAAUGUGGUGUAGCGUUUUUACCCCUUAAUCUUAAUGAAUGAUUAAGGUUGUGUUGGGUUUCGAGACAAUACGAUAUAUGACGGUUCCGUACCUAUCGUGGGAUGGGAUCAUCAAAUUUCAAGUUUGUGGGAUGGGAUAGUCCAAUUUCGAGUUGUUUGAAAA
This is an RNA transcript of Setaria italica (foxtail millet), 941 nucleotides long. It is a transcript of the gene named thioredoxin O, mitochondrial, with no coding region annotated. Lineage: Eukaryota; Viridiplantae; Streptophyta; Magnoliopsida; Poales; Poaceae. The transcript has 8 exons. The record is from RefSeq and is a predicted model, not a curated record.